Molecule: ribosomal RNA, 204 nt
Filed under: Desulfitobacterium hafniense DCB-2
Lineage: Bacteria; Bacillati; Bacillota; Clostridia; Eubacteriales; Desulfitobacteriaceae
Description: partial 16S ribosomal RNA gene
Source: RNAcentral
AGAGUUUGAUCCUGGCUCAGGACGAACGCUGGCGGCGUGCCUAACACAUGCAAGUCGAACGGACUAAUUCUUAACACUGAGUUCUUAGUAAGGAGCCAGCGAGAGCGCGAAAGAAGAGAGCGCUCCACGCUUUAUUCAAAGUGCCACCCCUACAUACUGAGGAGAGUUUCGAACUGAGGAUUGAGUGUUAAGAAUUAGUUAGUG